GGCGUUAAUAUAUGACCCGAUUAGCAGCUUCCGGGAAACCAAAGUUUUUCGUUUCCGGGGGAAGUAUGGUUGCAAAGCUGAAACUUAAAGGAAUUGACGGAAGGGCACCACCAGGAGUGGAGCCUGCGGCUUAAUUUGACUCAACACGGGAAAACUCACCCGGCCCGGACACCGUAAGGAUUGACAGACUGAGAGCUCUUUCUUAAUUCGGUGGGUGGUGGUGCAUGGCCGUUCUUAGUUGGUGGAGCGAUUUGUCUGGUUAAUUCCGAUAACGAACGAGACUCUGGCCUAUUAAAUAGACGAUAUAUUUAAAAGUAUAUCGCGCUUCUUAGAGGGACAAGCGGCGUCUAGCCGCAUGAAAUAGAGCAAUAACAGGUCUGUGAUGCCCUUAGAUGUCCGGGGCUGCACGCGCGCUACACUGAAAGAAUCAGUGUGCGUUACGCCUAGUUCGGAAGAACCGGGUAACCCAAGUAAAUUCUUUCGUGCUUGGGAUAGGGAAUUGCAAUUAUUUCCCUUAAACGAGGAAUUCCCAGUAAAUGCGGGUCAUAAGCUCGCGUUGAUUACGUCC
Molecule: ribosomal RNA, 568 nt
Filed under: Aporcelaimellus sp. MHb13
Lineage: Eukaryota; Metazoa; Nematoda; Enoplea; Dorylaimida; Aporcelaimidae
Description: SSU rRNA
Rfam family: Eukaryotic small subunit ribosomal RNA
Source: RNAcentral